CAGGCUUAACACAUGCAAGUCGAGGGGCAGCAUGGUCUUAGCUUGCUAAGACUGAUGGCGACCGGCGCACGGGUGAGUAACACGUAUCCAACCUGCCGUCUACUCUUGGACAGCCUUCUGAAAGGAAGAUUAAUACAAGAUGGCAUCAUGAGUCCGCAUGUUCACAUGAUUAAAGGUAUUCCGGUAGACGAUGGGGAUGCGUUCCAUUAGAUAGUAGGCGGGGUAACGGCCCACCUAGUCUUCGAUGGAUAGGGGUUCUGAGAGGAAGGUCCCCCACAUUGGAACUGAGACACGGUCCAAACUCCUACGGGAGGCAGCAGUGAGGAAUAUUGGUCAAUGGGCGAGAGCCUGAACCAGCCAAGUAGCGUGAAGGAUGACUGCCCUAUGGGUUGUAAACCUCUUUUAUAAAGGAAUAAAGUCGGGUAUGGAUACCCGUUUGCAUGUACUUUAUGAAUAAGGAUCGGCUAACUCCGUGCCAGCAGCCGCGGUAAUACGGAGGAUCCGAGCGUUAUCCGGAUUUAUUGGGUUUAAAGGGAGCGUAGAUGGAUGUUUAAGUCAGUUGUGAAAGUUUGCGGCUCAACCGUAAAAUUGCAGUUGAUACUGGAUAUCUUGAGUGCAGUUGAGGCAGGCGGAAUUCGUGGUGUAGCGGUGAAAUGCUUAGAUAUCACGAAGAACUCCGAUUGCGAAGGCAGCCUGCUAAGCUGCAACUGACAUUGAGGCUCGAAAGUGUGGGUAUCAAACAGGAUUAGAUACCCUGGUAGUCCACACGGUAAACGAUGAAUACUCGCUGUUUGCGAUAUACGGCAAGCGGCCAAGCGAAAGCGUUAAGUAUUCCACCUGGGGAGUACGCCGGCAACGGUGAAACUCAAAGGAAUUGACGGGGGCCCGCACAAGCGGAGGAACAUGUGGUUUAAUUCGAUGAUACGCGAGGAACCUUACCCGGGCUUAAAUUGCAGAUGAAUUACGGUGAAAGCCGUAAGCCGCAAGGCAUCUGUAAAGGUGCUGCAUGGUUGUCGUCAGCUCGUGCCGUGAGGUGUCGGCUUAAGUGCCAUAACGAGCGCAACCCUUGUUGUCAGUUACUAACAGGUUCCGCUGAGGACUCUGACAAGACUGCCAUCGUAAGAUGUGAGGAAGGUGGGGAUGACGUCAAAUCAGCACGGCCCUUACGUCCGGGGCUACACACGUGUUACAAUGGGGGGUACAGAGGGCCGCUACCACGCGAGUGGAUGCCAAUCCCAAAAACCUCUCUCAGUUCGGACUGGAGUCUGCAACCCGACUCCACGAAGCUGGAUUCGCUAGUAAUCGCGCAUCAGCCACGGCGCGGUGAAUACGUUCCCGGGCCUUGUACACACCGCCCGUCAAGCCAUGGGAGCCGGGGGUACCUGAAGUGCGUAACCGCGAGGAGCGCCCUAGGGUAAAACUGGUGACUGGGGCUAAGUC
RNAcentral lists this ribosomal RNA (1440 nucleotides) under uncultured organism. RNAcentral describes it as "SSU rRNA". It matches the Rfam family "Bacterial small subunit ribosomal RNA". The record is from RNAcentral.